AUGGCACAAAGUUUACCCCUAAGGCUAUUAUCAUGUGGGCCAUGCAUCAAAUCUAAAACAGCAACAGAUUCAAAUAUUCAUGCACACAAACUUGCUCAAAACUCAAAACAAAUACCACCAUCAGAUUCCUUGGAUUUUUCUACCCCAAAAACAUAUAUAAUAUGUUGGGGGUUGCUUGGAAAAAUAAUGCACAAUUGCAAAGAACAUAAACUGCCAAUUAUGGAAAUAUCCAAAAACGUAUUAUUCCCAAAAGGGAAUAUUCCCAAACAGGCCAACUCCCACGAGUUGAUUAAGAUAUGCACUGGAGUGGAUGACAGGUGGGGUCUGGAUGCUAGUGAGGCUGACCAAUGGGACCCACCUGUCAGCGAGACUGGAUAA
RNAcentral lists this ribosomal RNA (378 nucleotides) under Triticum aestivum (bread wheat). RNAcentral describes it as "partial small subunit ribosomal RNA". The record is from RNAcentral. Lineage: Eukaryota; Viridiplantae; Streptophyta; Magnoliopsida; Poales; Poaceae.